UACGUAGGUGGCAAGCGUUGUCCGGAUUUACUGGGCGUAAAGCGCGCGCAGGCGGUCGUUCAAGUCGCGUGUGAAAGCCCCCGGCUCAACUGGGGAGGGUCACGCGAUACUGAUCGACUCGAAGGCAGGAGAGGGUAGUGGAAUUCCCGGUGUAGUGGUGAAAUGCGUAGAUAUCGGGAGGAACACCAGGGGCGAAGGCGACUACCUGGCCUGUUUCUUGACGCUGAGGCGCGAAAGCUAGGGGAGCAAACGGG
This 254-nucleotide ribosomal RNA is filed under the name uncultured bacterium. RNAcentral's name for it is "partial 16S ribosomal RNA". It matches the Rfam family "Bacterial small subunit ribosomal RNA", at positions 524 to 776 of the family's 1533-position model. The record is from RNAcentral.